ACCUCCAGCAGCCUCGCCGAGGAACGAGAACCAGCCUCUGGCUCCCAGGACCAAGGAAAAGAAGAGCAGGCCCGUGAGAAGCUUCAUGGUGCUGAAAGGAGAGGACAGGGUCAGGCAGUCCCGUCCACACUGGCUCAUCCUCUUUUGGGAUUUGUAUUCCAAAGGGAGCCUCGUUGUUUAAUUAAGUCCACUGGUUCUCAUUGGAGUCUUAGCGGCUUAUCUAGGAAGCCUCGCUGGGGACCUCACUCAGAGCCACAAGUCCUCAGUGAAAUGGGAAGCAAAAUCAUCAACUGACACGAAGAGAUGAGAUAGGAAGUGUUGGAAUUUUCAGGCAAGAAGUAAAAAAUAUUCAUCAAGGAGAAUGGGAGACUGAAUGAGCAUGAGAAAGGUAACAAGAGUGCAAGGUAGCUCACAGUUACUGAUCAUGAAUUUAAGGAGAGAUUGAUGAACUACAGACAUCUCCAAACCCAAAAUCUCUUCUGGAAUUGUGUGGUAGUGGUGAAGCUAAGAACUCACUUGGGGACAGGAAAUUUUUAAGUCCCAAGAAUUCUUCUUAAGCUUUGUUUAACUUUCAAGUGACUGAUAAGUACAUGUUAUGAAUCAUCACUAAACCUUCUUCACCAGUUGGGCUAUUUGAAUAUCUAAAUCUUUAAACAUGUUCAGUAAUUGUAAAAAACAGGAUUUGCAGUU
Molecule: long non-coding RNA, 690 nt
Organism: Lemur catta (Ring-tailed lemur)
Lineage: Eukaryota; Metazoa; Chordata; Mammalia; Primates; Lemuridae
Exons: 3
Source: RefSeq, a predicted model, not a curated record